Molecule: ribosomal RNA, 487 nt
Filed under: uncultured cyanobacterium
Lineage: Bacteria; Bacillati; Cyanobacteriota
Description: bacterial SSU rRNA
Rfam family: Bacterial small subunit ribosomal RNA
Source: RNAcentral
GGCUGUCGUCAGCUCGUGUCGUGAGAUGUUGGGUUAAGUCCCGCAACGAGCGCAACCCACGUCUUUAGUUGCCAGCAUUUAGUUGGGCACUCUAGAGAGACCGCCGGUGACAAACCGGAGGAAGGUGUGGAUGACGUCAAGUCAUCAUGCCCCUUACGUCCUGGGCUACACACGUACUACAAUGCUACGGACAAAGGGCAGCAAACUCGCGAGAGCUAGCAAAUCCCAUAAACCGUGGCUCAGUUCAGAUCGUAGGCUGCAACUCGCCUACGUGAAGGAGGAAUCGCUAGUAAUCGCAGGUCAGCAUACUGCGGUGAAUACGUUCCCGGGCCUUGUACACACCGCCCGUCACACCAUGGAAGUUGGCCAUGCCCGAAGUCGUUACUUCAACCCGCAAGGGAGGAGGAUGCCGAAGGUGGGGCUGAUGACUGGGGUGAAGUCGUAACAAGGUAGCCGUACCGGAAGGUGCGGCUGGAUCACCUCCUAA